AUUUUAUGAAAGUGUUUUAAAAUAAUUCGCAUUGUAGAAGAGUAGAAGACAAGGAGAACGUAAUUGAUACACGUUCGUAACAUUUUAUGUAUUACUACUGCUAAGAAGGGCAUAUGGAGGUUUAAGAAGAAGGAAUAAAGCCACAUGUCAUCUAUGUUUUUGAUCUACAAACAAAUACUAUGUGGUCAAAUAACUGGAAAAAUGGUAUAUUCAUUGUUUUUUGGUUAUUACAUCACUGACUGUCUCGUAGUACUCGUGUUUCAUCCUCCGCUUGCACUUUUUCCUUGGGAUAAAUCUGCAUAAGGUUAUCAACAAUGUAACAUAAGUGUCAUGAAAUGUUAAAAUUCAACUCAAGGAUGGAUCUCUAUAAAAGAAAUAAACCUGGUUGCCUUUGUCUUCAUUAAGACUAAGCGUACGGACUUUAAGCUCCCCUCUUCUCGUCGUUAACUCGUCAAAAAUCUCAGCAUCAUUCUCUGGGACGCCUUUCGUUGUAUCAGUUGCCUAGAUCACCAAAGGUUGUUAGUUAACUCAUGCAUUAGUUCCACAAACUUAGAUAUUAAUAAACGUCAUACAUGACAAAGACAAGAGGUAUAUAUAUAUACCCGGAAAGACAAUUCAAGCGGGUCCCUAGGAGUGCCGGGGAUCUCCUCGUACUCGGCCGCAUCGAGUUCUCGGAGAUGAGACGGGUUAAAGAGCUUAGGGAGAAUGUACUGUCUGAUGGCUAUCAAUAGAAAGAAAGGAACCGGAAACAUUAUUCCCGCCACAGGAAUCCACGUGACUCCGUAACAAAUCCCAAAGUAGACUAUCUGCAAGAUUGUGAACGCAGCCAUCGACUUGUAAGGAACCUUCUCCACGAACGACGCGUGUGCUCCCUCCAAGACCCUGUAAAAUAAUCACAUGAUCAUCAGUCACAUGUCUUUGCUUGAAUAACAAGAAAGGGUGUUUUGAGAGUGCAUAUACUUGAAUCUCCGGCUUGGUAGGACGAAGAGAAGCAUCAUGCGCUCGAAGAAUUACUAUUAACCUUAUUAGUCAUCUUAUCAACACCAAAGAAGCAACCCACAACGGAAUCUCUAUGACCAAGAAACAAAUAAGGCUUAUUCAAGACCCCCUUCAACUUCCUAACGCAAAACAGCCUCGCCGCCAAAUCCUUAGUCCCGACAAGCAAAUACUCAGAGUCCAAGCUCCACUCCAAGGAGACAACUUUAUCAUCGGAGCUAGCGAAAGUCCUCACCCUCUGAAAGGCGAACGCCGCUCGGCUGAACCCAGGCGACUCCCAAAUCUCCACCAGCUUACCCACCCCCACGGCGAUGAACCUGCCGUCGGGGCUGAACUUCAAGGCGCCGACUUUCCCCUUGAAGGUCAUCCGGUGGAGCACCGCGCGGCGAGGGACGUUGAUGAAGAGGCACCGGCUGUUCUCGUCGACGGCCAUCAGGAAAGUGCCGUCGGGGGAGGCGGCGAGGCGGCAUAUGUUGGUGGAGGUGCUGAGCUCGAGGGUGACGGUGUGGUGCUUGGUGAGGUCGGUGACGGAGACGCGGUUGCCGACGGGGGAGAUGAGCUGGGUGUUUUGGGUGACGACGGCGUUUCCGCCUCUGUAGGGGGCGCCGAGAAGGUUUUGGAAUCGGUAAUUCAUGGCUUGAGGAUCGGUGACGAAGUCUGGAGAGAGGAAGGAUGGAAAUGCCGGCGGCGACGUUAGGGUUUAAGGUGCGAGUGUUUCGAUCUAUCUCUCGGACGCAGAACCCUUCUUCUCGAUUAUUUUCUAAUUUAUACUGGUUUAAUUACCGGUACAAAAGAAAAAGAAAAAGAAAAAGAAUUAAAAAAGGGAAGGACCAAGUUUCGGGGAUUUGAACCCGACGUGAAUCGAACACGCAACCUUCUGAUCUGGAGUCAGACGCGCUACCAUUGCGCCACGGAUCCUUGGUGCUAGAUAACUCAUCUACAUUGUUUAUAUCUAUUACAGAAUCAGUGUUCAUACGUUGAAGGAUGAAGAAGCUGGAACAUGCGUUGUUCGAAAGUGAAUUCGUACAUUUUAUGAAAGUGUUUUAAAAUAAUUCGCAUUGUAGAAGAGUAGAAGACAAGGAGAACGUAAUUGAUACACGUUCGUAACAUUUUAUGUAUUACUACUGCUAAGAAGGGCAUAUGGAGGUUUAAGAAGAAGGAAUAAAGCCACAUGUCAUCUAUGUUUUUGAUCUACAAACAAAUACUAUGUGGUCAAAUAACUGGAAAAAUGGUAUAUUCAUUGUUUUUUGGUUAUUACAUCACUGAC
Molecule: long non-coding RNA, 2263 nt
Filed under: Brassica napus (rape)
Lineage: Eukaryota; Viridiplantae; Streptophyta; Magnoliopsida; Brassicales; Brassicaceae
Description: long non-coding RNA (BNAP_LNC004949)
Source: RNAcentral